This 958-nucleotide small RNA is filed under the name Arabidopsis thaliana (thale cress). Its description in RNAcentral is "ATSL148920". Lineage: Eukaryota; Viridiplantae; Streptophyta; Magnoliopsida; Brassicales; Brassicaceae. The record is from RNAcentral.
UCCAAUAAAACAUAUGUUUUGCUGACUACUUUUUAUUCAAAAAAUUUUACAUCCUCUUCUGCCAAAAUCAUUUCAUAAGACAUCCCAAAACCCUUGGAAUAAUGAUUACAUGAAUGAAAAAUCCUAAUUUGAAUAUACCAAGAGGUUUUGAAAGGUUUUAAGUUUUUGAUAAGUGUGUAUGUGAGAAGGUACAUCCAUCGUGAUGGUAAUCUGCUUAUUUAUAAUUUUAACUUGCAUUAUACAGCAGGUAGGCUUAUAUUUUAGUUAAACUAAAAACUUUUAUUGUAAAGUUGAUUACAAAUAUAUGAUAUUAUUUUAUUUGAUUUUAAAUGUAUAGUAAACUGCGAGUUGUAUAUGUUUUGUUGAUAUUAUUUAUAUUGUUUAGUGUUUAAAAUUAUAUACUUGUAUUUUGAUUGUUAAUUUUAGAGUUUCACCUGUAGUAUACCAUCUUGUAUUAAUAUUGAUUUAAACCCGUCAAUUCUAGGAUUUUCCUGCUUGUAUUAAAAAUUGAAUCACAUCAUACACAUUAAAAAAUCUAAUAUGUUAUUAAUUAUUGUAGUAUAUAAGAUUAUAAAUUUUAAAAUAAUAUGUAUGAAAUUGAAUAUAAAUAUUCAAAUUAUGACACAGUACUCAGUAAAAAAAUUUCUUAAAUCUACUUUUGACCCGUUAUAGUAUUUUUUCAUGUAUUGAACAGUUUAUAUUCGUUUUUAAAAAUUCAAAUUGUGGCAUAUGCGAAAAAACUCUAAUUAUUUUUUUAUAACGAUGAUAUUAUUUUUUCGCAAAAAUAGAAUCAUAUAAAGAUGAGAGGUGAAGUAUAAUAAUUAAUAAAAAAUUAAUAUGAUAAUUUAGAUAUCAAAUCUAAUUUGUUGAUUUUAAUUGGUUACUUUUUUGGAAAUUAAUAAUGUAUUUCGUUUUUGAGUUAAAUUUAAUUAAUUAAAUUAAUAUUUGAUUUUUUAAU